GAUGAACGCUGGCGGCGUGCCUAAUACAUGCAAGUCGAGCGAACAGAUAAGGAGCUUGCUCCUUUGACGUUAGCGGCGGACGGGGGAGUAAUACGUGGUUAACCUACCUCUAAGACUGGAUUAAUUCCGGCAAACCGGGGCGAAUGCCGGAUAACAUUUAGAACCGCAUGGUUCUAGAGUGAAAGAUGGUUUUGCUAUCGGUUAUAGAUGGACCCGCGCCGUAUUAGCUAGUUGGUAAGGUAACGGCUUACCAAGGCAACGAUACGUAGCCGACCUGAGAGGGUGAUCGGCCACACUGGAACUGAGACACGGUCCAGACUCCUACGGGAGGCAGCAGUAGGGAAUCUUCCGCAAUGGGCGAAAGCCUGACGGAGCAACGCCGCGUGAGUGAUGAAGGUCUUCGGAUCGUAAAACUCUGUUAUUAGGGAAGAACAAAUGUGUAAGUAACUGUGCACGUCUUGACGGUACCUAAUCAGAAAGCCACGGCUAACUACGUG
Molecule: ribosomal RNA, 497 nt
Filed under: uncultured bacterium
Lineage: Bacteria
Description: partial 16S ribosomal RNA
Rfam family: Bacterial small subunit ribosomal RNA
Source: RNAcentral